This 290-nucleotide long non-coding RNA is filed under the name Manihot esculenta (cassava). RNAcentral's name for it is "long non-coding RNA (MESC_LNC004215)". Lineage: Eukaryota; Viridiplantae; Streptophyta; Magnoliopsida; Malpighiales; Euphorbiaceae. The record is from RNAcentral.
AUGUCUGAGGGCUUCCAUGCGAAGGUCGGCGAGUGACUUCGGAUCAGGGCCAUGGCUUCACCUUUUUGUUCUUUGGUGAGGCCGGCAUUGAGACUGAAGACCUUACUCGCUUCUUCUUCUGAUAGAGAGAAGGUCUCCAGCUCUCCUACGGGUUCUGUCCAGGCUUCCUUUGUCUCAUCCCUGACCUCCAAAACUUCCGAAUCAAGCGCUUCUCCGGUUGAGUUCGGUUCCGUCACUGUGGCCAAGUAUACUGCCCUUGCUUCUUCCUGGCUGCCCCGGACCAUUCCCAC